UACAGAGGGUGCGAGCGUUGUCCGGAAUCACUGGGCGUAAAGGGUUCGUAGGUGGCUUGCUAAGUCAGACGUGAAAUCCCUCAGCUUAACUGGGGAACUGCGUCUGAGACUGGUGAGCUUGAGUGCAGGAGAGGAACGCGGAAUUCCAGGUGUAGCGGUGAAAUGCGUAGAUAUCUGGAGGAACACCGGUGGCGAAGGCGGCGUUCUGGACUGCUACUGACACUGAGGAACGAAAGCCAGGGGAGCAAACGGG
Molecule: ribosomal RNA, 253 nt
Filed under: uncultured bacterium
Lineage: Bacteria
Description: partial 16S ribosomal RNA
Rfam family: Bacterial small subunit ribosomal RNA
Source: RNAcentral